CACUGUGAAGCUAGUCAGCAUUAACCUUUUAAGUUAAAGAUUGAAAGUUUUAAAUCUUUCCACAGUGAG
RNAcentral lists this transfer RNA (69 nucleotides) under Allocebus trichotus (hairy-eared dwarf lemur). RNAcentral describes it as "tRNA-Lys". It matches the Rfam family "tRNA". From Rfam's summary of the family: Transfer RNA (tRNA) molecules are approximately 80 nucleotides in length. Their secondary structure includes four short double-helical elements and three loops (D, anti-codon, and T loops). The record is from RNAcentral. Lineage: Eukaryota; Metazoa; Chordata; Mammalia; Primates; Cheirogaleidae.